Molecule: ribosomal RNA, 645 nt
Filed under: Perissus kiusiuensis
Lineage: Eukaryota; Metazoa; Arthropoda; Insecta; Coleoptera; Cerambycidae
Description: eukaryotic LSU rRNA
Rfam family: Eukaryotic large subunit ribosomal RNA
Source: RNAcentral
UGCGAGCGAACAGGGAAGAGCCCAGCACCGAAUCCCGCGGCCGAUAUCGGACGCCGGGAAAAUGUGGUGUUAGGGAGGAUCCGUUUAUCCCGAGGUCGUGCGGUGCGUCCAAGUCCUUCUUGAACGGGGCCACAGCCCAUAGAGGGUGCCAGGCCCGUAGCGACCGCUGCCGAUCGCGGGAGGGUCUCUCCUCAGAGUCGGGUUGCUUGAGAGUGCAGCCCUAAGUGGGUGGUAAACUCCAUCUAAGGCUAAAUAUGACCACGAGACCGAUAGCGAACAAGUACCGUGAGGGAAAGUUGAAAAGCACUUUGAAGAGAGAGUUCAAGAGUACGUGAAACCGUUCAGGGGUAAACCUGAGAAGCCCGAAAGGUCGAAUGGGGAAAUUCAUUCGCGUUUCGGCCGUCGGCGUUGGAUGGUCGCGUGACGGAUGGCGUACGCGUCGUCCGCGCCUUCCGUUCAUCGAACCGGCGUCGAACGCGUGCACUUUUCCCCUAGUAGGACGUCGCGAUCCGUUGGGUGUCGGUCUACGGCUCGCGGUGGAGCCCGUGCGGUCGUUUCGGCGUAUCGCACGGACCCGUGGUGUUCCGGCCGACUCGCUCGACGGUAUACAGAUGGCGCGGGGCCGCUACACAGUUAGCGUUCGGC